CAGGAUCAAACUCUACACAUCGUUUACGGCAUGGACUACGAGGGUAUCUAAUCCUCUUCGCUACCCAUGCUUUCGUUCCUCAGUGUCAGUAAUGAUCCAGAAAGCUGCCUUCGCAAUUGGUAUUCUUUCUAAUAUCUACGAAUUUCACCUCUACACUAGAAAUUCUGCUUUCCUCUAUCAUACUCUAGCUGAAAAGUUUUGAUGGCAGUUCCAGAGUUAAGCUCUGGGAUUUCACCACCAACUUUUUCAACCACCUACGAACUCUUUAAGCCCAGUAAUUCCGAACUACGCUAGGUCCCUUCGUAUUACCGCGGCUGCUGGCACGAAGUUAGCCGGACCUUCUUAUUCGGGUACAGUCAUUUUCUUCCCCGACGAAAGAGCUUUACAACCCAAAGGCCUUCUUCACUCACGCGGCAUCGCUGCAUCAGAGUUUCCUCCAUUGUGCAAGAUUCCCCACUGCUGCCUCCCGUAGGAGUUUGGGCCGUGUCUCAGUCCCAAUGUGGCUGAUCAUCCUCUCAAAUCAGCUAUUGAUCAUAGUCUUGGUAGGCCAUUACCCUACCAACAAACUAAUCAAGUGCGGGCUCAUCCAAUGGUGCAUAAAGCUUUCUCCGUAAAGACUUAUCCGGUAUUAGCACAAGUUUCCUCGUGUUAUUCCAGGCCAAAGGGUAGAUACCCACAUGUUACUCACCCGUCUGCCACUAAGUAUUGCUACUUCGUUCGACUUGCAUGUGUUAGGCGUGCCGCCAGCGUACGUUGUGAGCCAGGAUCAAACUCU
Molecule: ribosomal RNA, 775 nt
Filed under: uncultured bacterium
Lineage: Bacteria
Description: partial 16S ribosomal RNA
Source: RNAcentral